Podarcis lilfordi (Lilford's wall lizard) is the source of this 70-nucleotide non-coding RNA. The record is from the annotation of a GenBank genome assembly. Lineage: Eukaryota; Metazoa; Chordata; Lepidosauria; Squamata; Lacertidae.
GCGAUAGCUCAGGUGGUAGUGCAUGAGGCUCUUAAUCUCAGGGUUAUGGCUUCAAAUACCACGUUGAGCA